CCUACGGGUGGCUGCAGUGAGGAAUAUUGGGCAAUGGGCGCAGGCCUGAACCAGCCAAGUCGCGUGAGGGAAGACGGCCCUAUGGGUUGUACACCUCUUUUAUAAGGGAAGAAUAAUGACUACUUGUAGUCAGAUGCCCGUACCUUCUGAAUAAGCAUCGUCUAACUCCGUGCCAGCAGCCGCGGUAAUACGGAGGAUGCGGGGUUUAUCCGGAUUUAUUGGGGUUAAAGGGUGCGUAGGGGGUAUUUCAAGUUAGUGGUAAAACGGCGGGGCUUCACCUUGAUUGGCCAUUAAAACUGGAGUACUAGAGUACAGAAGAGGUAGGCGGAAUAAGUUAAGUAGCGGUGAAAUGCUUAGAUAUAACGUAGAACCCCGAUAGCGAAGGCAGCUUACCAGACUGUUACUGACGCUGAAGCACGAGAGCGUGGGUAGCGAACAGGAUUAGAUACCCCUGUAGUC
This 459-nucleotide ribosomal RNA is filed under the name uncultured bacterium. RNAcentral's name for it is "partial 16S ribosomal RNA". It matches the Rfam family "Bacterial small subunit ribosomal RNA", at positions 338 to 795 of the family's 1533-position model. The record is from RNAcentral.